Molecule: ribosomal RNA, 447 nt
Filed under: uncultured bacterium
Lineage: Bacteria
Description: bacterial SSU rRNA
Rfam family: Bacterial small subunit ribosomal RNA
Source: RNAcentral
CCAGACUCCUACGGGAGGCAGCAGUGGGGGAUAUUGCACAAUGGGGGAAACCCUGAUGCAGCGACGCCGCGUGAGUGAAGAAGUAAUUCGUUACGUAAAGCUCUAUCAGCAGGGAAGAAAAUGACGGUACCUGAAGAAGAAGCCCCGGCUAACUACGUGCCAGCAGCCGCGGUAAUACGUAGGGGGCAAGCGUUAUCCGGAUUUACUGGGGGUAAAGGGGGCGCAGACGGCGAUGCAAGCCAGGAGUGAAAGCCCGGGGCCCAACCCCGGGACUGCUCUUGGAACUGCGUGGCUGGAGUGCAGGAGGGGCAGGCGGAAUUCCUGGUGUAGCGGUGAAAUGCGUAGAUAUCAGGAGGAACACCGGUGGCGAAGGCGGCCUGCUGGACUGCAACUGACGUUGAGGCCCGAAAGCGUGGGGAGCAAACAGGAUUAGAGACCCUCGUAAUG